GCCCUGGUGACGAGGAGCGGAUCUCGAACGU
Molecule: non-coding RNA, 31 nt
Filed under: Homo sapiens (human)
Lineage: Eukaryota; Metazoa; Chordata; Mammalia; Primates; Hominidae
Source: RNAcentral